RNAcentral lists this long non-coding RNA (494 nucleotides) under Pongo abelii (Sumatran orangutan). Its description in RNAcentral is "lincRNA". The record is from RNAcentral. Lineage: Eukaryota; Metazoa; Chordata; Mammalia; Primates; Hominidae.
CAGCCCUAUAGGAGACACCUCCAGAGAAAGUAACAACUCUCAGUUGAUUAGCUGAGAAUAAACAGAUGCUUUUACAGCUCGCAUUGGUGGGAAGAUCUGGCACAAAUGAAGUAUCUAUAAGGAGCAGCAGAGUCAAGGAAGACACCAAAUGAGCUACACUGUUUUGGACUCCCCAACACAACCCAGCCACCGGCUGAAUGCCACCAAAUUACCUUCUAGUUAAAGCUUUAUGGAGCAAACGAAUCACCUAUUCAAUAUCUGCUUGAAUUUCUGACUCAAAAUAUAUCAGGUAUGUACUGUGUGACUUAAAUAUUGAGUUUAUUUUUAUCAAGUACCUGUCAAGAAAGAAAGUCAAUUCUGAAACAGCAAAAGCUCAAAGUUCUACAGAUGGCUUUCAAAGGAAUUUGAAUUAGACAUCAUUUGAUGUUGCAAAAAACAAUGAUAUCUUUUAUAGCUCUAAACAUCAGUUUUUAAAUCAGAGAUUGAUCUAUAAA